RNAcentral lists this ribosomal RNA (485 nucleotides) under Hanseniaspora vineae. Its description in RNAcentral is "LSU rRNA". It matches the Rfam family "Eukaryotic large subunit ribosomal RNA", at positions 58 to 549 of the family's 3401-position model. Lineage: Eukaryota; Fungi; Ascomycota; Saccharomycetes; Saccharomycodales; Saccharomycodaceae. The record is from RNAcentral.
AAAGAACAACCGGGAUUGCCUCAGUAACGGCGAGUGAAGCGGCAAAAGCUCAAAUUUGAAAUCUGGCACUCUCAGUGUCCGAGUUGUAAUUUGUAGAAGUAGUUUUGGGGCUGGUCCUUGUCUAUGUUCCUUGGAACAGGACGUCAUAGAGGGUGAGAAUCCCGUGUGGCGAGGAUCCCAGUUCUUUGUAAAACGCUUUCGAAGAGUCGAGUUGUUUGGGAAUGCAGCUCUAAGUGGGUGGUAAAUUCCAUCUAAAGCUAAAUAUUGGCGAGAGACCGAUAGCGAACAAGUACAGUGAUGGAAAGAUGAAAAGAACUUUGAAAAGAGAGUGAAAAAGUACGUGAAAUUGUUGAAAGGGAAGGGCAUUUGAUCAGACAUGGUGUUUGGACGCCCUGCGCUCCUUGUGGGUGCAGGACACGCUUUUCACUGGGCCAACAUCGGUUUUGGCAGCAGGAUAAAUCGUUAGGAACGUAGCUGCCCUCGGG